This 420-nucleotide ribosomal RNA is filed under the name bacterium. Its description in RNAcentral is "partial 16S ribosomal RNA". It matches the Rfam family "Bacterial small subunit ribosomal RNA", at positions 355 to 776 of the family's 1533-position model. The record is from RNAcentral.
UGGGGGAUAUUGCACAAUGGGCGAAAGCCUGAUGCAGCGACGCCGCGUGGGGGAUGAAGGCUUUCGGGUUGUAAACCUCUUUCGCUAUCGAACAAGGCCCGCUUAGGGUGGGUUGAGGGUAGGUGGAGAAGAAGCGCCGGCUAACUACGUGCCAGCAGCCGCGGUAAUACGUAGGGCGCGAGCGUUGUCCGGAAUUAUUGGGCGUAAAGGGCUUGUAGGCGGCUUGUUGCGCCUGCUGUGAAAACGCGGGGCUUAACUUCGCGCGUGCAGUGGGUACGGGCAGGCUUCAGUGUGGUAGGGGUGACUGGAAUGCCAGGUGUAGCGGUGGAAUGCGCAGAUAUCUGGAGGAACACCGAUGGCGAAGGCAGGUCACUGGGCCAUUACUGACGCUGAGGAGCGAAAGCAUGGGUAGCGAACAGG